UGUGAAUAUGUGACCCCCUAAGGUUUGGGAAUGUGGUCGUCAAUAAACUCGUAUUUGCACCUACUACAUGACAGCUUAGUUAGUACCAAUUAUACACUUCCUUGUAAGUAAACCAGCUUCGUCGAAAUACUCCUUAUCUUUGCUUAUCAGGUGUGGGUGUGUAAGCUCCGAAACAUUUGGGAAUAUUGGCCCUAAACUCAUAUACCUACACCGACAACACGACGGUUUAGUUAGCUCCAUUCAUCCACUUCCUUAAUUGUGAACCAGCUUCGUCUUACUCUUAUCUUUGCUUAUCAGGUGUGGGUGUUUGAGCCCCGAAAUGUUUGGGAAUGUGGGCUUGAAACACAUAUUUAUAUCAACUACAUGACAGCUUAGUUAGUUCCAUUCAUCCACUUCCUUAAUUGUCAACCAGCUUCGUCGAAAUACCGAGUCCUUACCCUUACCAGCCAGCGUUCGAGGCAUACACUAAGUAAAAUGAUGUUCUCUCCGCUCCCUAAUUCUCCUCGUAAUAACACACCCUUCAAAGUUUGCGCCGUAUAUCUCGUUCACCGUGUUCAGCAAGUCGAUUUAGUUCACCUGUGCUCGUGUGAAUUAUGUAGCGUGUAUUUCCAGCGUGUAACGACCAGGCUAAUGAAUAUACGUACUGGUAGAAGGGCAAUUGCAGCCGGAUGAGUUAUGUACUUGCGCGAACAGUAAUUCUCCCACAUCUGGCUCAGUUUUCUUUGUGGUAGCAGCACGUUGCGAUCAAUUUCAACAUAUCUUGCUCUUCCUGUCAAGCUCGUGGCCUGGACUCAAGGGAACCGUAACGUAGCGUGACUGUGUGGUGGCUUAGAGUAACAUAGUAAGCAAAUAGGUAAAUAAAAGGUGCAACGGCAAGGCUGGAUAUAUAUAGUAGCGGACAGCAUCACAGUUAGGGCUUCAUAUGUGUGUGUGGGUUUGGAUGUGGGUGGUAGGUAGUUGAGUGGGUGGAUGUGGGUGGACGUGUGUGUGGGUGUGGGGUGAGGUGGAGGUGGGGGCUAAGGUUGGUAUUGUCAGAUGCUCCCACCCCUCACUCCAACUAAUCCCAAGGGCCAAAAAGAAGGUUAAUCGAGUUCUUUUAGGUUCACGGUACAGAAGAAGGCUCAGACUACCACCAGGGUCAUAAAAGUACCCCUGGAAAUGCCCUAAACUCCCACGAAAGACUAGUAAAUUACGUGUCCUUGGGCGCAGAAAUGUUUAAAAAUAUGGCCCUAAGGAGGCAUGGUGGGAGCCAAUGCUUGUAAAGGUUGCCGCAGAGCUGACAAAACCCGCUAUACGUUGCUGCUCCUGGUAGUGACACCGUCCAUUGUGAAUGUCACCGAGCAGAAUGAAUGCCACCUGCACCACCACCACCACCAUCACCACCUCCUCCUCGGGUCCUCGUGGUGGCAGGAGCUUCAGCGAGGUGGAGCCUCCCCGACACCACCAUAAUAGCAGUCAAUUUAAAUCAAUUUCACUCACGUUUAUAGAUUUGUUGAAUGCUUUCUUUGCUGGAGUAUUUAUUGUGAGAGAGAGAGAGAGAGAGAGAGAGAGAGAGAGAGAGAGAGAGAGAGAGAGAGAGAGAGAGUUUGUAUGUGUGUGUGUGUGUGUGUGUGUGUGUGUGUGUGUGUGUGUGUGUGCGUCGCGUUCUGUGGACGUAGUAGUAGUAGUAGUUGUAAGUAGCAAGUGGGCACCCGCUUCAUCCGACAGGACGAGAGCAGGGUGCUGGGUGUCCGGGGACUCCGGGCGGCUAUCACGCCAGUCCGCCCUCACGUCCUGCUGGGGUCCGCUGCCACACUGUACACCACGACCCGUUGUCUCAAACACACCAGCACCUCAGUCGCUCGCUUGUUUGAAAGGCCUCGAAAAAGUUAUGAUUUCCACUAACCGUUUUAUGAUGCCAGCGACAGUUUUACACGUCUUCUGCACCUUGAAGAGGACAACACCCGUUACAACUCUGUGGCCUUGGGUAAUAGUCAUAAUGAGAUCUCGUCACCUUUAAUUAAGAAUAUGACCCAAGAUGUCUUCAUUGUACAAACACCUCUCAUUUACGCGAAUGCAAAGUAAGAGCCUUUUUUUCAUGACGUAUAUAAAUAACACAAAUCUUAUUUUGCGCGUAUUUUUACAUUAGCGCGAACACGCUUAAAAAUUCUGAAGAGCGUGCAGGGGUUGCAAAACACAACUCGCACGCCCGGGUUCUUUCACGGAAUAUCCAAACAUAAAUUAACCUGUAAACAAAUUAUUUUCUUCAUGUCCUUGUAAUGUAACUCGCUUGCAAACUGGUCGACAUUUGAGAGAAAACUGGGUCGCAGUAACAAUAGUCUGAAGAAAUGAUGUAAUUGACUGCUCUUUCGGCCACCUCUUCGGAUUCUUUACAGGAGCAGCGAGUAGCGGGCUUUUUUUAUUGUUUCCUUUUUUUGUGUGCCUUUGUGCUGUCUCCUCUGCUGUAAAAAAAAAAGAGCCUCCUGGUGUUAGUUGCUCCCCCGUGUGCUCGCUGGUGGUUCUCUGAGCGGUGGUUAUCACACUCGCCAGCUUGUUGCCGUGGCGAGUGGGUUUGAUUCUCAGACGCUUCCGCCUCACGUCAACUCUUUCCUAAGGCCGAAAAGGAGAUUAAUCGGGUUCUCAUGAGUGUGUUUUCACUUCUCUGUACAUAAUCUUUGUUAACCUACCACCAGAAGCCUAAAAGUAACGAAGAAAAUGCUCAUCUAUAUGAAACCCUUGUCAAAUGUGUGUGCCAGGGCCCCGAAAUGUUUAUGAAUAUGGCCCUUAUAGACUCUCCUUCCUUCCACGCUUCACCAUCUUACGCAUGUGCCACCUAAUAGAUACAUAGGUAGACUGACAGCGAUAGAUAGAUAGAUAGACAAGAAGACUGGCUGACUGACUGGCUGACCUGAUAUUUGUAUAUGCGUAUAUACCACGCAGAUUGGAUAGGUUACUAUUAAGCAUAAUUUAUAGUUUAGGUAUGCAACGUAGCAAAAAGUAUUGGCAUUUAUGGUCCAUGAGUUCAACAAACACAUUAGAAUUUUAAGCGGAAAAUAGGAAUACGUUCUAGUGUUACCGUGAAACAGACACUUCCCUCCCCUCCACCGACACACACACACAC
This is a long non-coding RNA of Eriocheir sinensis (Chinese mitten crab), 3100 nucleotides long. RefSeq lists it as uncharacterized. The record is from RefSeq and is a predicted model, not a curated record. The transcript is spliced from 2 exons. NCBI's taxonomy places the organism in Eukaryota, Metazoa, Arthropoda, Malacostraca, Decapoda, Varunidae.